AUUGAACGCUGGCGGCAGGCCUAACACAUGCAAGUCGAACGAGUGGCGGACGGGUGAGUAAUGUCUGGGAAACUGCCCGAUGGAGGGGGAUAACUACUGGCAACGGUAGCUAAUACCGCAUACCAUCGGAUGUGCCCAGAUGGGAUUAGCUCGUAGGUGGGGUAAUGGCUCACCUAGGCGCCGAGCCCUAGCUGGUCUGAGAGGAUGACCAGCCACACUGGAACUGAGACACGGGCCAGACGCCUCCGGGAGGCAGCAGUGGGGAAUAUUGCACAAUGGGCGCAAGCCUGAGGCAGCCAUGGCGCGUGUAUGAAGAAGGCCUUCGGGUUUUAAAGUACUUUCAGCGGGUAGGCGUUACCCGCAGAAGAAGCACCGGCUAACUCCGUGCCAGCAGCCGCGGUAAUUC
This 406-nucleotide ribosomal RNA is filed under the name uncultured bacterium. RNAcentral describes it as "partial 16S ribosomal RNA". It matches the Rfam family "Bacterial small subunit ribosomal RNA", at positions 30 to 526 of the family's 1533-position model. The record is from RNAcentral.